Non-coding RNA from Sus scrofa (pig), 3632 nucleotides. The record is from RefSeq and is a predicted model, not a curated record. Lineage: Eukaryota; Metazoa; Chordata; Mammalia; Artiodactyla; Suidae.
AAAAAGCCCAGAGGGUGAGCGAGCUGGUUAAGUUUGCUUUUACUUCUUUGUCUUCGUUACUUAGUCCUCACCAACUCGGUUAACUUUUCUUCCCUCGGAACAAUUUUCCGCGCGACCCCCAGCCACCCCAGUUGUUUUAGAACUGCUCUUCCUUCCGUUUCCCAAAACUUUCACUACCUUUUUUUUUUUCCUGGGUUUUGUCGGUUUCCUGUUAAUGUUAUUUGCCAGUUAGCCACGGGAAGAUUCGACACGUAGUGCUCAUUUGCAGUUUGUGCGAUUAAGUGUUUUGUGUUUUUUUCCCCUGCUAAAGUUCUAGAACUUAGUUGUGCGCACGCGCACGCACAAACCCACAAGUGCACUUAAAGCUCUUGUUUUACAGCUGAAAAGCUGGAGGCCCAGCGGGGGGAAGUAACUUGGGGGGAGGAAGGGAACCAGCGGGUGGGAGAAAGCUGGUCUUAGGAGCAGAUUCUAGGGUGACCAGUCUGAUCGCCAGUAAUUAAUAGGUACCCCUAUUUCCAGGUGCCUCCUUGUUCAGUGUAAGUAUCACCCUUUCUGUAAGAGCUUCUCUGACUUUCCUGGCUCUUGUUGGAAGUUGGGCUCCUUUCAGAAUCUUUUAGGCGUCAGGCCCUGUGCAGCAUCAAGGACAGGCCUUCUCAAUGGUUUGGAAUAGACACUGCUAACAAGAGUAUUAGUAGUAAACUAAGAAGAACAGAGAAAUUGAAUGAAAAGUGAGAACAUGGAGAGAGGCAAAAUGUGCAGGGACCAAAGGCAGCAACAAACUCAAUAUAAGUGAACACACUGAACACACCUAUCAAGACACAUAGCAAAAAAAAAAUAAAUAAAUAAAAAAAUCAAAACCAAAACCAAAAUAAUACCAAGGACCUCAUGGAGAAAAAGCUGGUUCUAGGUCUGGAGAAGGGAAAGUUCAAAAUGAUGCUGGAAUAAGUAUCCUGUUCUGACAGAAGGAAAGAUGUGCCCAAGGAAGUGAUGGAAACAUGUCAAAAAGAUACAGAGACCAGCUGCGAUGGGCUCCCAUAAGCCUUCCCAAUGAUCAAACCAGUGACAAAGUUAUGGCCGUGAAGUUUGAAUGGAUGUGUGGCACUUCCAGACCUAGCUCAUCAAAGCCUCCCAUGUCUAAUCCUAGCAUUAUUACUACAUCCGCUAGAUGAAUGAAGAGAUCUUCAAAGACUUACAGAAGAGACAGGAUAAAAGGAUCUUGGGUCCCUGAGUGACUGUGUGGAGUAGAGACCAUCCACUGACCUGCACUUCAAUGUCAGGUCUUGACCUAGACUUGGUGUAUCUGACAGCUGAGAUCCUUGUGCUGAGCCAUAUAGAAGCUGUAAGAUUGAUCACAUUUCUGAAGGAGGAUUCUCCCAGAUGCCACAUUGAAGCAGGUGAAAUAAAUGCUAAAUCAAGCCAUCAGCUGGCAUUUGCUGACUUCUGUGGUAUAAAUUCUCCCGCUGUAGCUGAUUUCAAGCUACUGAUAUGACAUCACCGAACAGGGAGUUGGGAAGAAAUGUGCACAUCAGUAGUGUUUCCACCAUGGAGAGGCAAUCAAUGACAAUAACCCCAAAGGAAAAGAGUAAAUAGGAGGACAAGAAAUAAUUCCAUGGACCAGGAGGACUGAAAAGGUUUGGAGCUUUCCUAGACAAUUUAGAGGCACCUACAAAAGUAAGCUUUCCACAAUAGGAUAACAAAGGAUUUCAAUGGAACCAGCAAAGAAAGGCAGAGGAACCUGAAGACUUGGAGGAUCGCUUUUCUGAGAAGACUUGCCCAGCAAAACACCUCGCCCACAGCCUCCUCUUGCCAGCUAGUCCUAAAGGAGCUCCCUGUCAGCAGAGCCGGAGCAUCUGCCUUGAUCCCCUGGCCCCACGCUCCAAAGUGAUUCAGAGAAGCCAGCAGUUUCUUUCAGUGCUCAGCUGGCAGCUGUCUCCUUUGAUAAAUACUCCUUUUGGGGGCAGGGGGGCUUUUUGUUUUUUCCUUCACCCUUAACAGAUUUUCCUUUAAAAAAAAACAUCGCCAAUGAAAUAGAAUGAAGCUUACUUCAUAGUUUGAACAUUGGUUAAGUCCACAGGAAUAUAAAAUACCAUUUCUCUUGCCUUUUGUCUCUUUCUUUCUUUUUUUAAAAAAGUAUUUGUUUUGGGUGCACUGCUAUUAGCUAGGUCUUUUUCUGGGUGUGGCUGAAAUUGCCUGAGGGAGGAGGUGUGGGUGGCGUAUGAGAGUCAGCGGAGGAGUCCUGCACUGAUGAACAAGUAAAACGUGUGUGUGUGUGUGUGUGUGUGUGAGAGAGAGAGAGAGAGAGAGAGAGAAACACUGACUUAGGAAAUAUUAUUAUAUUUCCAGUUGUUCAAAGCAGAGCUGAUGAUUCCUUGAACAAUUUUAAAAUUUACUUUUUACCCUCUAUUUGAAAUUUCGCUGGAACAAGGGCUUUGGGUCCAGUUCCUGCAUUGCCUCAAAGGGUCCUUGUUGUGAAAUGCUAAGGGCUGGACAGACUAGAAAUCCUGAUUCCUUCCCCUUGCUCUCCUCCUCCCAUUGCCUUUUUUCUAACAUAUUCUAGGGUGAAAGCUUAGAAAAUCAUCCUAACUUCUAGAAGACACUAGCCGGCAAAAUAUACCUCUUUACUUCUCUGGAUUAAAAGAAAAUUCUGAGAUCUUUCUCUAUGUCAAAAUGAUACCUAUAUUUCAGAACCCAGAUAACAUACUUCCCUCAUCAUGAAGGAUCCUCUAAUUCUUCCAAAUCAAAAAAAAAAAUUUUUUUAAUUAAAAAAGUGGUUUUGGCCAUGCCGGAGCCCUGAUGAAAUUCCCAGGCCAGGGAUCAAACCUGCAUUGAAAUAUGUAGAUACAUACACUCUCUCCUAAACUUCUAAAGAGUAUGUAAGAAUAGAUAGUCAUGCUCUGUUCAUCUGUGAUGGGAAUUUAGUGACUGUCAGGUGCUGGGUUCAACACCUUACAUGGAUUAACAUUGUAGGUAAAUGCACCUUUUAUCUACAUUCUGCAUUUGAGCAAAGAGGUUAGAUGACCUGCUCAAGGCACUGGUAAAUGGUAUAGCCACUUAUUUGAUAAAGAUAGUACUCUAAUUUUUGCUGAUUUUUUACUAUGUUUUAUUUACCUUUUUGCUUGCAACAAUAAUUAGUAUUUGUAAAAAGAUUAACAUUUUACCCAUUCAUCAGCUCAUUAAUGUCUGUGAUGUUGUUAUUAUUUCCCUAUUUUAUCAGUGAGUUUGACUCCCCACAUAGGAGGUAUAUGGCAGAGCCAGUAUUAGGCCAGGUUAUUUGAUUAUAGGUUUUGCCCUAUGUCAGGCCACUGAACUCCCUUGCCUGGCCUCAUUCAAGGUCAGCUUGGUGUUUUCAGUGCCUUUGUAGGGCCAGAACUUUCCCUUAACUAUGCUACCCAAAGGUCUAAGUUAUGGUAACAGGGCAAGGGCAGGGCCCAUCAUGGCCCAGGCUUAAUCUAAGAGCUGCCUUAAGGAAGCAAUAUUCAGAUCUUUCUCAAGUCAUAGAGGCAGGCAUCUGUAUCCAUGAGUUUUGCACCUCUAGAUAAGGAGAGCUGACUGUAUUCAUUGUACCAUGCUAUUUUUAUCUUAUUUUUGUCUUUUUAGGGCCAUACCUGUGGCAUAUGGAGGUUCCCAGGCUA